GCAUGUUACCCGAUGUCCUGCACAUGUUUUCCAGCCAUGGGAAACAGAGACCCAGAGUGGUUGCUGGGAAAGGGAGGUCACAAAAGAAACUAGAGAUACAAGGAAGUGUCUGAGUUUCUGAAUGUUGCAGCAUGCGAACUUUCAGUUGCGGCAUGUGGGAUCUCGUUCCCCGACCCGGGAUUGAACCCAGGACCCUUGAGCUAAGCAUGGGGGCUUAGCUCCCAGACCACCAGGGAAGUCCCAACUCCGUAUGUUCCCGAUCUGGAACCCAAGUGUUUAACCAGCGACAUCUGUUCCAAGUCAGUCCUCGAGACAGGUGGUCCAGGCUCAGAGCUGCUCAGCAGGUCAUCCAAGUUCACAACCAGCCAACACGUGGCCCCCCUUGAGUUAUCUGGCUGCACCCAGGCCUCUGAGUGAGUUCUCCGCGCUGGCCCCGAGCCACGGGGCCUGCCUGGGAGCCUGUCAACACCAGUG
Long non-coding RNA from Dama dama (fallow deer), 474 nucleotides. RefSeq lists it as uncharacterized. The record is from RefSeq and is a predicted model, not a curated record. The transcript is spliced from 3 exons. NCBI's taxonomy places the organism in Eukaryota, Metazoa, Chordata, Mammalia, Artiodactyla, Cervidae.